AAUACAGACAGUCAGGGGGUUGUUAAUAUCUGUCAAAGGAACAGAGACAGUCAGGGGGUUGUUAAUAUCUGUGACAGGAACAGAGAGUGUCAGGGGGUUGUUAAUAUCUGUGACAGGAACAGAGACAGUCAGGGGGUUGUUAAUAUCUAUCACAGGAACAGAGACAGUCAGGGGGUUGUUAUCAUGUGUUCUGGGAGAGUGUCAGAGUGUAGUUAUUACAGGAUGUGUGCUGCAUUAUUUUUGUUCAUGAACACAGGCAGUGACUCAGUACCAGAGUACAGCUCUCAGGAUGUGAGAGUGGAUCAGUGUCUCAGUGUAGGAAAGGGAUCAGAGACUCACCUGGUAUGAUGUAUCUGUCACUGCGUGGAGAGAGAGUGCUGGGGUCUGUACCCACACUGUAGUCACAGCUCACCUCACUGCUCAGAUCGCUCACACUCUCAUUAAACAGACAGCUCUUUCCUCUAGUCUUCAAUGAUCUGUGUGGCUGCUGUGUGUCUCCAGAGUACAGGUUACAGCUGGUAACAUUAUCAGGGCUGGAAGUCUUACAGGAAAUAAGGACAUGUCCUUCACUGGAGAUCUUCGAGCUCUCCACAGAGAUCUCUGGUUUCUGCAGCUCCCCUGUCAACAGAGCAAACACAGGUCCUGAGCAGCACUGACAGGAGUGUUAGAGCUCUGUGUCUCAUCUCUCUGGUGCUGCCCUUCACUCUUCACUGCUCCUGUCAUCAGUAUAACACACUGCACUGCUGCACUGCUGCACUGCUGGCUACAGGCAAAGACCCUAACCCUAACUAUUCCUGUACCUGUAUUGUCUGUAUACAGGUUAAAAAUAGUCUUUAAUUUAAACAGUACGCAACGGAGAACUACAAUUCCCAUGAUGCAUCUGAGCAGAGACAGUAGAUGGUUGCUCUUAACUCUACAGUCCCUGCAGUCCUACAGUACCUACAGUCUCUACACUCCUAGUCUCUACACUCCUACAGUCUCUACAGUCCUACAGUCCUACAGUCUCUACAGUCUCUACAGCAGGGGUGCCCAACCUUUUUAAGUAUAAGAGCUACUUUUUUGCCAGUCCAGUGCGAUCUACCAGUGUGAAUUUGAAGCUCUGAUACAGGAAAAACAGACUGUGGGCACAUCAGUACAAUAACGAUACCCAUCACUAAAAUGACAGCAAAUAAAAGCAAGUGACUCAGGCUACAGAGAACCAGUAAUGUUCCCCAUUUUAGAGAAAAGAAUAUCCUACCUUAAUGUGAGCACUGGCACUGAGAAGCUUACCGGAGAACACUUGUAAUUUGUUUUGAGCGUGUUGACACUGCUGAUCGUGUCGAUGACAUUUGUAUUGUGUCCCUGCAGCUCGACACUCAGCUCACUCAGCAGUUCAGUCAGGUCUGUGAGGACUGCUAAAUCCAGAAGCCACUGGUCGUCCUCAUUGGGCAUAUUCACCGUGUUUUUACACCUUGAGAAACUCUGAUUUCAGGCAACAGCCGUCUGAACCUCGACAGAACACUUCCUGUAUUACAGCACCGUUUUUAUAUCUUUUUUAUGCAUAAAAAAUCAUAAAUGUGAAAAAGAACCAGGGCUUUUUAAAAGUUGACCCAGGUAGUUCAUAACACAACUGCAAAACCACACUGGAGACACUACCGUCUCACACAUGCAGACCGCGGAAGUAAUGGAAAAAUAUUUUUAGUUUCAGAUAAUAGAACUGAACAUACAUCUAAGGUCUCAAAAGCCAGUCCUUACCCCUGUCCCUGCGAACGCAGCCCGAUCAGGUCACAGUCCGUGUACUGGUGUGUUUCUGGUCACUGCAUGGUGAACAGUACAGCCUGAGGCCACAGCCUGAGCCCUGAAGACGCAGGUAUCGGUGCCUUUGCUAAGUCCUGUAUUCCUCCCGGCUGAAAUACUGAGAUACAGUAUAGCGCCUGUUUUUUUCGGGUAGUCACGUGACUGUCUACAAGGAAGUUUAAAGGCACCAAAACACUGUGUACUUCUAGUUACUGGAUGUGAUGAAAACAGGGGGGACAAUGUACACAAUGUGGAUGUUAUAACUAUCAGGCACAAAGACAUGUCCCGCAGCAGCAGGCCGAAGACACUGAAUCUCUGUUGUUGAAAAGAGAGACAGGACCUGAUCCAAGCAUUCCUAAUUCUCAGGGGUGCUCACACGGUCAGUACCAUGGACCUCGACAGAACCGACAGGGAAACAAGCGGAAACAGAACAAGAGGCGCAUCUUUACACAAAGAGUGGCGGGAGUGUGGAACAGAUGAACUAAUAGCUAUGAUUUGAAACCCGAUGCCCUGGUUACUUUCAAGGAACUGCUGGAUGAGCUGGAUGCGAUGCUCGGAUCCAUUAGCUCCGAACUACCAGAAGAAAUACUGUCUGAGAUGUUGUGACACAAGAGCUCCUGUCUGUUCCACUCUGUCGUGCUGAAAUCAGUACCCAGAACACCUUCUUCUGCAACAGACAUUCUGAUUUAGAAAUAUAUCGGUUUUGGUUCAUUUGCAGUUGACAAGAUAAUGGAAGGCAGACACUACCCUGAGCACAAUAGCUGAUGUUUAAAAAGCACACUGAGUUGUCGGAGGACUGUAAUGACUGAACACAUGCGUGUUCAGUCACAUACUGAGAGACUGAGAGACACCGAGAUACUGAGACACACUGAGAUACUGAGAGACUUUGACACUGAGACACUGAAAUACUGAGAUACUGAGAUACUGAGAUACUGAGAAACACUGAGAGAUACUGAGAUACUGAGAAACACUGAGAUACUGAGAUACUGAGAAACACUGAGAUACUGAGAGACUUAGACACUGAGACACUGAAAUACUGAGAUACUGAGAAACACUGAGAGAAUAAAAUACUGAGACACUGAGAGACACUGAGAGACAUUGAUGCACUGACCUUGAGCUCUGGUGUGUCCAGACAGACCUGGGAAUAAAUACAGAGACUGUGAGCUCACUGCCUCACACUGUUCACAAGCACUGACACACUGCACACACUACACACACUGACACACUGACACACUGGACACACUGCACACACUGCACACACUGACGCACAGUGACAGAGAGUCACUGAGAGACAUGACAGCUCUAGUGAAACAGCAAGUGAAAGACCCCCCACUGACACAGAGACAGAGAGACAGCACUGACUCACAGAGGCACCACCACGAAAACACACUCUGACGCCGGAGACAGGAGAGAGGAGACAGGAGACAGGAGAGAGAGGAGAGAGGAAAGAGGAGAGAGGAGACAGGGGACAGGGGACAGGAGAGAGGAGAGAGGAGAGAGGGAGAGAGGAGAAAAGAGAGAGGGAGCUCCUCAGGGCGAAAGCGGGAAAGAAAGGAGCACUCACGAGCCAGGAAGAGGAGAAGAACGCAGAGAGGGGCCAUGUUGUGGGAGAGGUCAGUCAGCUCCUAUUAGAGUGAAGAAGUGUUUGAGGAAGUGCUCAGGGGAUGAAGCACAGGAAACCACACUGCUUCUGACAGACGAGAGCAGAGAAUGAGGCCACACUCAACACAGCAGGGCGCUGGGGAGAGGAGAG
This 3529-nucleotide long non-coding RNA is filed under the name Lepisosteus oculatus (spotted gar). Its description in RNAcentral is "lncRNA (ENSLOCG00000022914.1)". Lineage: Eukaryota; Metazoa; Chordata; Actinopteri; Semionotiformes; Lepisosteidae. The record is from RNAcentral.